This 588-nucleotide ribosomal RNA is filed under the name Triticum aestivum (bread wheat). RNAcentral's name for it is "partial small subunit ribosomal RNA". Lineage: Eukaryota; Viridiplantae; Streptophyta; Magnoliopsida; Poales; Poaceae. The record is from RNAcentral.
AUGCCGUUGAAGGGCAAGGUGGCCUUGUUCUCCUGCAAGAUGAUCGUCAACUACUUGUACUCCACGUGGCUCUUGUUGCUCCUCUAUGGCAUCUACCUCCGCCCAUACGCUGUCCGGCCAAACGUGGACGCCGCCGCCCUCGCGGCCUUUGACCUCGCCCCGGACAACAUGCUCCGCUACGACCUCGCCGCCAACAUCACCUUCUUCAACGACCACCGGGUCUGGGCCAUCCGCUUCAACCACUUCUCCGCGAGCCUCUACUUCAACGGCACCAAGCUCAGCCCGCCCGACGACACCUUCCCAAAGUUCAAGGGCAGACUGCGCCGGCACCGCACCGUGCACCCCGUGCUGCGCGGCCGCGCCAGCAACGUCAGCGCCGCCGUGGCGGAGGAGUUCUCCUGGCAGCGAGCGCAGGGGUGGUUCACCGUCGAACUCAGGCUCAGGGCCACGUUGACUUAUCUCGUAUGGCCCACACGGCACGUCUACUACUAUGAGUACGACUGCUGGCUACCUUUCCCAAGCAACACCACGCCGGCGGUGAUCGGCGGCGUCAAGUGCAGCAAGGGCAAACGGUUUGGGCUUUCCUGA